ACCCUCUUCUGCAGAGUUCCCAAGAGCACAGCUCCUCACCAUGGAUUGGACCUGGAGAAUCCUCCUCUUGGUGGCAGCUGUGAAAAGUGCCCAUGGCCAGGUGCAGCUGGUGCAGUCUGGAGCUGAGCUGAGGAGGCCCGGGGCCUCAGUGAAGGUCUCCUGCAAGGCAUCUGGCUACACCUUCACAGAGUACUUCAUGCACUGGGUGCGGCAGGGCCCUGGACAGGGGCUGGAGUGGAUCGGAAGGCUCAACCCUUACAAUGGUGAUACAAUAUAUGAGCAGAAGUUUCAGGGCAGGGUCACCCUCACCAGAGACACACUCUCCAGCACAGCCUACAUGGAGCUGAACAGUCUGAGGACUGAGGACACGGCCGUGUAUUACUGUGCGAGACACAGUGUGGUGAACCACAUCCUGACUGUGUCAGAAACCCUGAGGGAGGAGCAGCUGCCUUAG
Chinchilla lanigera (long-tailed chinchilla) is the source of this 454-nucleotide non-coding RNA. The record is from the annotation of a RefSeq genome assembly. Lineage: Eukaryota; Metazoa; Chordata; Mammalia; Rodentia; Chinchillidae.